UUUUCCAUCACUGCUCCAAUAUCGUGCUGAUUAGUUGCCAAAUUAAACAGUAAUGAAAACAUGAAAGCCUAUAUAUGGAAUAAGAUGAGUAAUGAGAAAUUUGCAUCAUCACAUAGCGGGAGAGACAUGAAUUCACUACGAACCUCCCUCCUCUGUUUCCUACUCUCUAUCAUUUUCAUACCCAACUUCACUGCUUCUGAGAUCCUAUUUCAGGGGUUCAAUUGGGAAUCAGCAAGGAAGGGAGGAUGGUACAACAUCUUGAAGCAGUCUGCAGCUGAACUAGCUUCGUCAAAGAUAACGCAUGUUUGGCUUCCACCAUCUUCUCAGGCUGUUUCAGAUGAAGGCUACAUGCCUGGCAGGCUCUAUGAUCUCACAUCAAAAUAUGGAAGCCAAGAUGAAUUAAAGGCACUGAUAAAAACCUACAAGGACAACGGGAUACAGAGCAUAGCAGAUAUUGUUAUAAACCAUAGAUGUGCGCAGAAGCAAGAUGAGAGAGGAAUAUGGUGCAUUUUUGAAGGAGGAACAGCAGAUGAUCGCCUUGAUUGGGGACCGUCACUUAUUUGCAGCGACGACACAAAAUAUUCUGAUGGCAAGGGGAACCCUGAUACUGGACUUGACUUUGGUGGUGCCCCUGACAUUGAUCACAAAAACACAAGGGUCCAGAAUGAGCUUUCAGGUUGGAUGAAUUGGUUAAAGAACGAAAUUGGUUAUAGCGGAUGGCGAUUUGAUUUUGUCAGGGGAUAUGCUCCAGAGUACACCAAGUUGUAUGUGGCAAACACAAAGCCUAGUUUUGCAGUAGGAGAGUUUUGGAACUCCCUUGCUUAUGGAAGUGAUGGAAAACCUGAGUACAAUCAGGACAACCAUCGCAAUGAGCUAGCUGGAUGGAUAGGGAAAGCCGGAGGAGAGGUUACUGCUUUUGAUUUCACAACUAAAGGGAUACUUCAAGCUGCUGUCCAAGGUGAACUGGGGAGGUUGAAGGACUCAAGAGGAGGUCCUCCUGGAUUGAUUGGAAUAAUGCCACGCAAUAGUGUGACCUUCGUAGACAAUCAUGAUACAGGCUCCACCCAAAAAUUGUGGCCAUUUCCUUCAGAUAAAGUCAUGCAGGGAUAUGCUUACAUUCUUACUCAUCCAGGGAUCCCAUCAGUAUUCUAUGACCACUUCUUUGACUGGGGAUUGAAAGAGGAGAUCUCGAAACUCGCUGCAAUAAGGUCCAGGAAUGGGAUCAAACCCGACAGUGCCGUGCAGAUCCUAGCAGCUGAUGCAGAUCUCUAUGUAGCUUCCAUAGAUGACAAAGUCAUAAUGAAGAUUGGUCCCAGAUUCGACCUUGGGAACCUUGUUCCUCCAACAUACAAAGUUGCAACUUCUGGGAAGGAUUAUGCUGUGUGGGAGAAAUCAGCAUGAACGUCUUGUUUAUAAACAAUCGAUUAAUAAAGUGCUGGUAAUUGAUGUAUUGCAACUUGCAAAGCAAGCAUGCAUGGUGAAGAGCAAGUCUUUCUGAUAUUUCUGGAAAUAAGAGUAACUGCAAGAUUCACAAAACUUGACUGGUAAGGCACAUUAAGUCAAUAAUAUAUGGAACAUGUAAAACGUCCAUAUAUUUAUCAAGCUUGCAAUUGCAUAGAUAAACUUACCCCGGCAUCAGAAGCGACGAGGCAUAUGAUUACGCAGGCUAUGAAUUCUUCGAGAAAAUGUUUUAAUGCCCCAUCCAACUGAUCCAAGGAUGUUUCUCUGUCGAGAAGUUCCAA
Argentina anserina (silverweed cinquefoil) is the source of this 1742-nucleotide RNA transcript. It is a transcript of the gene named alpha-amylase, with no coding region annotated. NCBI's taxonomy places the organism in Eukaryota, Viridiplantae, Streptophyta, Magnoliopsida, Rosales, Rosaceae. The transcript has 5 exons. The record is from RefSeq and is a predicted model, not a curated record.